GCCGACGUAGCACAAUUGGCAGAUGCGCUUGUCUUAGGAACAAGUUGGUGUGAGUUCGAAUCUCACCGUCGGUA
Molecule: transfer RNA, 74 nt
Filed under: Acidobacteriota bacterium
Lineage: Bacteria; Pseudomonadati; Acidobacteriota
Description: tRNA-Leu
Rfam family: tRNA
About the family: Transfer RNA (tRNA) molecules are approximately 80 nucleotides in length. Their secondary structure includes four short double-helical elements and three loops (D, anti-codon, and T loops).
Source: RNAcentral